Long non-coding RNA from Drosophila teissieri, 882 nucleotides. RefSeq lists it as uncharacterized. The transcript has 3 exons. NCBI's taxonomy places the organism in Eukaryota, Metazoa, Arthropoda, Insecta, Diptera, Drosophilidae. The record is from RefSeq and is a predicted model, not a curated record.
GUAUAUUACCUCAGAAUAUCGUGUCAAAGUUUCAAAAGCUAAUUCUCAAAAUUGUGGAAGAGGUGCCUUCCGGUAGUUACGCCGAGCCAGUUCUCCAUGACCGCAAACUUUAAACCCACUACAACAAAAUUUUUUGUGAAACUCAAGAAUUUUGAUUUUUGGAGCCUGUUUGACAGACUUUUUUUCGAAUUAAGAAAAGAUAUUGGUUUAUCGACGACAAAAAACCCUCUUGAAUAAGAAAUUUUUGGAUUGUUGACUUUAGACUAAAAUUGUGGCCAACAUCACUUACAAACAUUUUGAUAUAUCCGCGGCGAUAUGACUUACAAGACCCUUGUAAAAUUUGAUAAAAACCAAGCUUCACUUUUGAAAAAUUAUUUUUUUUUGAUUAUCUCAGAGAUUACUCUUUGUCGGCCUCUAAAGGCGCCUACUGCUUAAAUCUGCAGAUGGCUACAAGCUACCGGUUACAAGUGAUUCAGACGCUAUUGUAAGAUUAACGAAUAAGCAGACCUGUUUUGGAAGGGGUCGUUAAGGGAGUACACGCAAAUGAUCAAAUGAGCAAAUGAUGAUUAAACGACCACCACUAUCCGUUGGAGAAUAUAUAAUUAUAGUGGAUAAGAAGCCUUUGGGCCAAAAGACAAAUUAUAGUAAUAUGUACAGCUAAAGAUUUAUUUGUAACCACCUUAAAUAUAAAAAAAAGACUAUAAAUUCAAAAAGUGCUGCUAUAAACUUCGUAAUUUAAUCGUUGGCUGCAACAACAUAUUAUAUUACACACCGGUUACCUUAAACGUUACUUUUAAGAUUUGUAUAAUUUGUACAAAAGUAAAGAGAAUGUUUUUUAUAGCCGUUACUCGUAGAGUAAAAGGGUAUAUUAGAUUUGUUGAA